CAGCCAUCUUGCGCCCAGGCUCUGCCCCCACAUCACUGUUCUCUUUUCCCCUCUGUGAAAACCUGCCUCUUUAAAAUCAGACCCUCUGAGUGUUCGAAUGUUAAAGCCGUCCUCGUCACUCCCCGGAUGGCAGCCAAACUUCAGUGACUCAAGCCUUUGGUACACAUCUCACAGCUAAAGAAGGCUCCACCUGACGUAUGGUCCUGAACAAAGCUGGAGACAUCCAAAUCAAAUUGACUAGGAAGAGAAGCAGCCACACCUGAGGCAGAAAGCUUUCCCAAGGCUUCUUGACACAUAAAUGAAGAUGGACAAAAUAAUUUUAUUUCAAAGGAUAAGAAAAUCUAUACACCUUAACUUAUUUCAUCUUCUCCAAAAGUUGCUUGGUGUUUUUUAAUCUGCAACCAAAGAUUCUUAGGAACUCCUGAAGUUUGGAAGAAGCACCGUGAAAGCCAAUUUUUCUCCCAGUAACUUCACGGAAAGAAUCUGCAGGAACCCAACCUUGUUUCGAGGACCAUCAGUAUACCUUAAAGACCAAAGCAGCAACACUUAAGAUUUACAUAUUGACCAAGCAUUGGUGAUCCAGGAUGCUUUUGAUAAAAGGAAAUGCAAAAAAUACCAUUUUAUAAAUAGUGGUGUUCAUCAUUCAAGCACUGAGAUAACUUAAAUCUCUGACAAGUUCCUUGGGCUCAAUCCUGAGAAGCAAUUCCUCUGGACAUGCCUGGACUCUCCCACACAGAGCCUCUCUUCCUGUCUCUCAGAGCCUCCCAAAAGGAAAGCAGCCCUCUGACGCAGCGAUCUUUAGCCCAUGCAGACCUGCAUCAGACUUCUGACCUUCCGAGCGUCCAGGAUAUUUCUGAAGAUGGUUCCAGAGAAACUACUGUCUCAUGGAUUUGGGAGUUUUAUAUUCCUGCUGCAAAUUUCUAGAGCCCUCAUGAGUUGAGCACACCGCUGCCGUUCUCUGACUAUUCAGAGCUGCCCGUCUCUCCCAUCCCCUAGCUUUUCCUCAGUGUGCAGAUGGACUCUUCUUGUUUCUAUCCUUUCUCCAUUUCCCACAUAGAGGUUGGGGGCUCAUUUUCAAUUAAUUCAAAGAGAUUAAGAUUCAUUUUGUUAACUUGUGAAACUACAGAGAUGCCGCUUUGUUGUCCACUAAUACUAACGCAUUAAAAUGAAGCUCAAACGCAAUAUCAUAGUAAAAUACCUAUCAUUUAUUGAGCAUGUUCUAUGUCUUUGUACUAUAGCCUUGUUCCAUAUCCAUGUGUUAUCUGAUAUAAUCUUCAAAAGUCUUUUAAUAGAUAUUAUUAUCCUAAUUUUACAGGAGAGGAAAAUAUGGUCCAGAGAAGUAAUUUACAAAAUUGUUUGCAAAGAUGUUUGCCAAAUGGCUCAGCUAUUAAGUAUCAGAAUAAAAAUUCAAUCUCUUUAAUGCCUGGCUCCAAAGCCAGGAUCUCCUUAUGCUGCAUAACCUAUGAACAAGGACAUCAGCAUAACCUGUCCUGCACCCAGACUCAGACGUUGAUACUCACCCAAUGGAAAUAUUAUAUCAGUCUCCUACUCAAAAGUUUCCAGUGGCAUGUCUGGUUUUUAUCCUUAUAUUACAUCUAAAUUAUUUCAUCUGUUUUUAAGGUCCUUUUGUAUCUGGGCCAACCUUUGUUUCAAUUACAAGAACGACCCAAAGAAGGGCUAUCCUGUGUUACCAGUAUCAACAGAGCUAUUAGUGAACUAGCAUUUUUAAACUCCCAGUCACUCUUUGCUAAAACCACAGCACUGUAGGGUUUGCACAGAAAUUUGGGGCCGGAGCUAGGAGACUGACCGACCAAGAAAGACUUCAUUCUGUGUUUUUUCUUCUUUCCUCUAAUGACUAAGAUUAGCCUCCACAGAAAAUAGAUUCACCCAGAACCUUCCUUUCCUGUGAAUGAGAAUCUUAAAAUAUCCUUUGAAGAGACUCCUAUGCAAGGGGUGGAAGAUGGCUAUGUCCUAUUCCAUCUGCCACAGUACAAACCCACAUCUCAGGUUAGACAGUGUCAGGACUUCAAUAGAUCUUGGUGAUGCCUAACCUCCAGCAACUGCCCAACUUCAUUCUACCUGUUUAAACUUCAAGUCCAUGAACUUCUUGUUUCAGCUCUCACAUGUAAAGAGCUCAGAGUUUUCAACACCAUCCUUACAACCUAAAAAGCUAAACAAUCUAAAAAACAAUUACUUUCCUUGAACACAUCAGAGAACUGAAGACAUAGGGCAAACCACCAACCUCCAAAUCUGGAAAGACUUGGGUAUCCAGAGAGAUACAGCAGUUGAGAUUUGCUAACAGGAGGAGAAGAAAGUGGAGUCAUUAACUGGCAGGAAAAUUCACAGUUGAUAUAUUGGUGGAAGUUGGGUGUGGAGGGACCAGCAUGAAAAUGAGAAACUCCUGGGCCUCAGUCUUGGCGCUGAGGGCAUACUUCCUCUCCAGUAACCCAGAAGGUUUUCACAGUGAAGGUCUGAGAAAGAACUACAAAACAGCCAGAAAACAAUUAAAAAAAUAUCAAUAGUAUGCCCUUACCUAUCAAAAAUUAGUUUAAAUGUAAAUGAAUUAAGUUCACUUAUCAAAGACAUUGAGUGAGUGAAUGGAUAAAAAAACAACACCGACUUAGAAUUCUAUUCCAGUGAAAUUAUUCUUUAAAAGCAAAGGGCAAAUAGACUUUAUCAGACAAAUAAAAGUGGACAGACUUUACAGUUAGAAGAUCUGCCUACAAAGACUUCAGUGAGAAGAAAAAUUAUAUAGGUCAGAAACUCAGAUGCACAUAAAGAAAGGAAAAGCAUCAGAGAAAGAACAAGUUAAACUAAAAGUUCUAACUUUUUUAUUCUUAACUGAUCUAAAAUAUAACUCUAUUCAAAUCAAUAAUAGUAAAAAGUGUUGGCUGAUGACAGCAUAUGGAUAAAUUAAAUGAAUAACAGCAAUGCCAAAAAAGAUGAGAAAGAGGAAUUAGGAAUAGUCUGUUAUAGGGCACAUGCAUUGCAGAUGAAGUGGUAGAGUGUUAUUUGAAGGUGGAUUUAAAUUCAUUUAAAAAUAAUUCAAACUUUAAGAUAAUCAUUAAUUUUUUAAAAGAGAGGAGAUAAAAUAAAAUCAUGUUAAAUCCUGAUUAAAACUAGAGAAGCCAUCAGAGGCCGGCCUGGUGACACAGCAGUUAAAUUCAUGCGUUCUGCUUUGGCUGCCCAGGGUUUGCCUGUUCUGAUCCUGGGUGCAGACAUGGCACUGCUUGUCAAGCCAUGCCGUGGCAG
Molecule: long non-coding RNA, 3252 nt
Organism: Equus caballus (horse)
Lineage: Eukaryota; Metazoa; Chordata; Mammalia; Perissodactyla; Equidae
Source: RefSeq, a predicted model, not a curated record